This is an unclassified non-coding RNA of Myotis lucifugus (little brown bat), 133 nucleotides long. It matches the Rfam family "Y RNA". From Rfam's summary of the family: Y RNAs are components of the Ro ribonucleoprotein particle (Ro RNP), in association with Ro60 and La proteins. The Y RNAs and Ro60 and La proteins are well conserved, but the function of the Ro RNP is not known. In humans the RNA component can be one of four small RNAs -- hY1, hY3, hY4 and hY5. Lineage: Eukaryota; Metazoa; Chordata; Mammalia; Chiroptera; Vespertilionidae. The record is from Ensembl.
GGCUGGUCCGAGUGCAGUGGUGUCUUACAACUAAUUGAUCACAGCCAGUUACAGAUUUCUUUGAUUGAUCACAGCCAGUUACAGAUUUCUUUGUUCCUUCUCCACUCCCACUGCUUCACUUGACUAGCCAAAA